AAAAAUGAUAACCCAUCAACAAUUAUGUGACGGCCCCAGGCCUGGGUGUUGUGUAUAGUGCACUGUUGGUGGUUGUCUGUUUGUUUGUUUUGCAGGUCUGAUGCAGUGGUCAUUAGGUUGACAGGGAGCACCUGGCCAGUGUUCCCAGUCGGGCCUAUUUAACCCCGCCUUCUUUGACGCCAUCUCUCUCUGUUCGGUACUCCACGCAGCACCUUGCCAGCGUGCUGGUUUUCCUUUUGUUUGUAGUUAUUUUCGCACUUACAACAUGCACUUCACAUUAACCAUUACACCCAUACACUUUCCUACACCACUGAUACUGACUUCCACAUCCCACAUGAUUUGAGUUUUCCUUAUGAGUCUUAUUUACUUUAAUUAAACUUUGUUUAAUUAUUAACUAAGUUUGGUUGCACAUCUCCUCUUUUGUUGCGGCCCACGAGCCGGUCGUAACAAAUUGGGGGCUCGUCCAUCUCGAAGGUCGGUUUUUUUUUUUGUAGUUGUUUAGUAGUAGUUUUUUGUUGUUUGGUUGAGCGCUUUUGUUACGUGAGAGCACACGUCAGGUAAGUGGCGGUGCGUGAGGAAAUCCCUUAAAUCGAGAGGUUGGGCUCGCGUGUGAAAGUGACGUCAUGAUGGGGAUUCCCUUUGUCACGGAUAACGUAGUUCACCUUAUAUGGUGAGUUUGAUUGCGCGCGGGAGAUGUGCGUUUAGGUAAGUUGGUGCACCUGUGCAGCUCUACUAGGAGUCGAGGAGAAGUGGUUGUUGUUGUUUGCUGUCUCAAAUUGUGAAUAUUUACGGAGGCAUGAGAAGUGAGUUGGUGUCGGAGCAGCAUGCUGACAGUUCCCUCAAGAGUUUGCUGGACGUGGUGCGGCCUUCUGGGGAGCUUCAAGGAUCCAGUUGCUGAGGCAGUGGGAGAACGGAAGAUUGUAGGGGACAUAAGCGGUGAGGUAUUUAGUAUUAUUGCAGUUAUUAGUAUUGUGUUAGGAGUGUAGUUUUCAGUAAGUAUAGAGGUACCCUAUA
Acanthopagrus latus (yellowfin seabream) is the source of this 1014-nucleotide RNA transcript. RefSeq lists it as uncharacterized. Lineage: Eukaryota; Metazoa; Chordata; Actinopteri; Spariformes; Sparidae. The record is from RefSeq and is a predicted model, not a curated record. The transcript has 3 exons.